RNAcentral lists this ribosomal RNA (425 nucleotides) under uncultured bacterium. Its description in RNAcentral is "partial 16S ribosomal RNA". It matches the Rfam family "Bacterial small subunit ribosomal RNA", at positions 354 to 796 of the family's 1533-position model. The record is from RNAcentral.
GUGGGGAAUCUUAGACAAUGGGCGCAAGCCUGAUCUAGCCAUGCCGCGUGAGCGAUGAAGGCCUUAGGGUUGUAAAGCUCUUUCAGCUGGGAAGAUAAUGACGGUACCAGCAGAAGAAGCCCCGGCUAACUCCGUGCCAGCAGCCGCGGUAAUACGAAGGGGGCUAGCGUUGUUCGGAAUUACUGGGCGUAAAGCGCACGUAGGCGGAUCAGAAAGUCAGAGGUGAAAUCCCAGGGCUCAACCUUGGAACUGCCUUUGAAACUCCUGAUCUUGAGGUCGAGAGAGGUGAGUGGAAUUCCGAGUGUAGAGGUGAAAUUCGUAGAUAUUCGGAGGAACACCAGUGGCGAAGGCGGCUCACUGGCUCGAUACUGACGCUGAGGUGCGAAAGCGUGGGGAGCAAACAGGAUUAGAUACCCCGGUAGUCC